Molecule: transfer RNA, 68 nt
Filed under: Eremiaphila sp.
Lineage: Eukaryota; Metazoa; Arthropoda; Insecta; Mantodea; Eremiaphilidae
Description: tRNA-Pro
Source: RNAcentral
CAAAGGAUAGUUUAUUAAAAAAUAUUAAUUUUGGGGAUUAAUGAUAGGAUUUUUUUUCUUUCCUUUGA